UACAGAGGGUGCAAGCGUUAAUCGGAAUUACUGGGCGUAAAGCGCACGCAGGCGGUUGGUUAAGUCAGAUGUGAAAGCCCCGGGCUCAACCUGGGAAUUGCAUUUAAAACUGGCCAACUAGAGUACGUGAGAGGGGGGUAGAAUUCCAAGUGUAGCGGUGAAAUGCGUAGAGAUUUGGAGGAAUACCAGUGGCGAAGGCGGCCCCCUGGCACAACACUGACGCUCAGGUGCGAAAGCGUGGGGAGCAAACAGG
This 253-nucleotide ribosomal RNA is filed under the name uncultured bacterium. Its description in RNAcentral is "partial 16S ribosomal RNA". It matches the Rfam family "Bacterial small subunit ribosomal RNA", at positions 524 to 776 of the family's 1533-position model. The record is from RNAcentral.